This is a long non-coding RNA of Strongylocentrotus purpuratus (purple sea urchin), 864 nucleotides long. RefSeq lists it as uncharacterized. NCBI's taxonomy places the organism in Eukaryota, Metazoa, Echinodermata, Echinoidea, Camarodonta, Strongylocentrotidae. The transcript is spliced from 4 exons. The record is from RefSeq and is a predicted model, not a curated record.
ACGACCUUAUCUGUGACAACAGUAACAGCUAGGCAACUUCGGUGCUGGACACGGUUUUCUGUAGAAAUCCUGAAAUAUACAGAGUGUAUUACCAUAUGCUUGCUUCUUUGAGUAUGUGCCUGAAACAAGAAUGUCCUGGAGAAAACGGACCACAACAAGAAAAGAGAUGGAGAGGAAGGGCUUGCUGUUGAGAGAUCAUGGGGUGCCUUGAGGUUCCACUUCCAGUCUUGAUGUUCUGCCCCUUACCUCUAAGCGAUGGCCUCUUGUGCCUGGCAAUAUAUGAGCGAAGCACAAUGGACUGCCGGCUUGUCGGAAUUGCGUACAAGGAUGCCAUUGGACUUUUCUGUACUAGUAGCUGAAGGGGGGAACAGUCACCAGAAGGAGCAUGCAACUCCAAAACAAUGUGGAUACUUCUACCGAGUUCAUCUCAAGAAUCAAGAUGUGACAGUGGAUGUACAUGUAGAGGGGUUUGUGACCCUCCUGACUGUGGACUACAUGCAAUACACAUCAAUGGAUUGUAGAGGAGUAAUGGUGGGUCCGGUGAGCUCAACUCUGGAGGUUAAGUUCGCAAAAUUAUUAAAUUUCCUUUUAAUAUGGGUGUAUAUGGUUCCAGGGAUUAAUUUGACGCAAUGCCUCGUAGUGACACGCCCUAUUAAGGGGCGACACACGUGUCAGAAGGUAUAAAAUGGGUUUUGGCACGAGCUUUUACUUUUCGGAUGACUUCCUCAUUUUGUUUCAUACCUCAUUUCCUUUGCCGCCAUGAGGUGCUAAAGUUUUAGCAGAGUUGGGGGCUUCCAGCCCAUAGAUGUGACUUUUCAUGAUUAUAUGUAAUAAAUUGUAAUAAAGUUACUAUCCACUUCAACA